UCCUCCGUGGCGCAAUUGGCUAGCGCGUCUGACUGUUAACCUAAUGGUAGCUCAUCAGGAGGUUGAAAGUUCGAGCCUUUCCGGGGGAG
Molecule: transfer RNA, 89 nt
Filed under: Setomelanomma holmii
Lineage: Eukaryota; Fungi; Ascomycota; Dothideomycetes; Pleosporales; Phaeosphaeriaceae
Rfam family: tRNA
About the family: Transfer RNA (tRNA) molecules are approximately 80 nucleotides in length. Their secondary structure includes four short double-helical elements and three loops (D, anti-codon, and T loops).
Source: Rfam by way of RNAcentral